This is a long non-coding RNA of Petromyzon marinus (sea lamprey), 802 nucleotides long. RefSeq lists it as uncharacterized. Lineage: Eukaryota; Metazoa; Chordata; Hyperoartia; Petromyzontiformes; Petromyzontidae. The record is from RefSeq and is a predicted model, not a curated record.
CACACCGGCCUACUCUUGCGAAUGCCAUCACGGGAUGUUUGACACAUACUGUGUAGCAGCCGGUGCGUAUGUUCACUAUUAAUGAAUAAAUCACCCGCAGCAUUAACCAGGGCGACCGCUGGUUUCGAACCGCGAACCUCAGCGCCAACAACAGCGACGACGACGGGGCGACCGCGCUCACCCGCUCGGCCGCAUCACCACCGUCUCAUCUGACCGCGCGGGGAAGCAAAUCGAGGAGCCGCUGCUGCCAAGACUCACUCAAGUUGUGGCUUUACAUUCGGCGUGUGAAGGCAGGCAAUCUCGCUGUUCCGGUGAACUAUCAGCGCGCCCACACCCAGAAUCUACUGAACGACGAUCACGACGAUCAUUGUAACCAGCCAGAGUGAACAAGACGCAGAUCAACAACUACCAACGUCACAUUCAGGUGGUCAAGCUCCAGACGACCGCGUCAGGAGCCGCCGAGUGUAUCAUCGUCGCUGUGAUGUCUCCUUCGUAUUUGUGGUUCGGGCAUUGCGACGUUGCACGGGCGGUUCUGCAUGACCGCAGUCGCACACUAACUGGAGCGUUUUUAUUUUUUUCCAUUUGUGCAUCAGCUAUGCGCAUCUGCUGCCAAAAUGUGUUCAGUGGAUGGCAUUUAGGGCAGAACAAAAUCUUUAUUGUAGGCUUUGACUCCGCUCGGUUACCCAGGAAACCCUCCGCUGAGUCUCUUGACUCUUUUUCAGGAGGGUCCUGCUACGUAUCGCGCGGCGAGGGGCGAUGCUUGCUACGUCCUCAAUUUCAAUAAAUUUGAUUUUUUUUAAAG